Molecule: ribosomal RNA, 566 nt
Filed under: uncultured bacterium
Lineage: Bacteria
Description: bacterial SSU rRNA
Rfam family: Bacterial small subunit ribosomal RNA
Source: RNAcentral
ACAUGUCUCGUAUGGUUUCCAGAGAUGGAUUCCUUCAGUUCGGCUGGCGAGAACACAGGUGUUGCAUGGCUGUCGUCAGCUCGUGUCGUGAGAUGUUGGGUUAAGUCCCGCAACGAGCGCAACCCUCGCCUUUAGUUGCCAUCAUUUAGUUGGGCACUCUAGAGGGACUGCCGGUGAUAAGCCGGAGGAAGGUGGGGAUGACGUCAAGUCCUCAUGGCCCUUACGGGUUGGGCUACACACGUGCUACAAUGGCGGCGACAAUGGGCAGCGAAGGGGCGACCCGGUGCAAAUCCCAAAAAGCCGUCUCAGUUCGGAUUGUACUCUGCAACUCGAGUGCAUGAAGGUGGAAUCGCUAGUAAUCGCGUAACAGCAUGACGCGGUGAAUACGUUCCCGGGCCUUGUACACACCGCCCGUCACACCAUGGGAGUUGGUUUUACCCGAAGCUGGUGCGCUAACCGCAAGGAGGCAGCCAACCACGGUAAGGUCAGCGACUGGGGUGAAGUCGUAACAAGGUAGCCCUAGGGGAACCUGGGGCUGGAUCACCUCCGUAAGCUUGGAUCCCGGG